Molecule: non-coding RNA, 395 nt
Organism: Salvelinus sp. IW2-2015
Lineage: Eukaryota; Metazoa; Chordata; Actinopteri; Salmoniformes; Salmonidae
Source: RefSeq, a predicted model, not a curated record
GGUUCCCAUCCUGGCCUGGUAAACUGUCAGGGGAGGAGGCGGGGCACAACCAUCACCACCAUGGCCGCCUGCAGCUCAGAGAGGACAGCAAGGUGGAGCCAGAGAAGCUGAAAACACUGUCUGACAUCUGUUAUUACCCCAGGUGGACCAGAGAAGCUGAAAACACUGUCUGACAUCUGUUAUUACCCCAGGUGGAGCCAGAGAAGCUGAAAACACUGUCUGACAUCUGUAUUACCCCAGGUGGAGCCAGAGAAGCUGAAACAACACACAUGACCUAGAGGCCCUCGACAGAGCGACCAAGAGGAACAGAAAAGCUGGGAAGUUGAAUAAUCAUUUAGAAGCUGCUAUACAUGAGGCCAUGAGUGAGCGCUGCGACAAGAUGUCAGGGACUGUGA